Molecule: long non-coding RNA, 256 nt
Organism: Cotesia glomerata
Lineage: Eukaryota; Metazoa; Arthropoda; Insecta; Hymenoptera; Braconidae
Exons: 3
Source: RefSeq, a predicted model, not a curated record
UUGUAUUAAUUCAGAUUUGCUUUCAUAAAUAGAAUUAGUUUGUAAAAGAGACUCUCAGGGCCAUUUCGGGCAACUCCCAUGCUUUGGGGACGCCCAAUAAACAAUUAGUACCGUAAUUCACGAGUAUUCUUCAUUCACUGAGCGACCCACCCCCUUAUCAACAUCUAAAUAUUUUUCAGUAAGACGCUGAGCUAGUCCGGAGGUCUGUUUACGUGACAGGUAAAUAACCAGGUGUAGGCUCACACGUAACAUUGUU